RNAcentral lists this long non-coding RNA (1377 nucleotides) under Vulpes vulpes (red fox). Its description in RNAcentral is "lncRNA (ENSVVUG00000012779.1)". The record is from RNAcentral. Lineage: Eukaryota; Metazoa; Chordata; Mammalia; Carnivora; Canidae.
GAAGAUAAUGCAUCUUGGCUACUUUCCUACCUGUAAAAUGGGCAGGCUAUCACCUAUAUGGUCUCAUGAGGAUUGAUUUAGGUAGUGGGGGUGUUUCUCCAGUUCCUAGCACCCAGCUCCUGUUUGGAUCCUUCCUUUCGGAGUCGUGCAUGCUGGCUUGCACAGUCUACUGCAUAUACCUUAGUGAAAACUUCACUUCCCCAAAAGAAGGGUCUUCAGUGGAGAAAUAUUUAUGCUCCCCCUGGACCAUCCAGAAGGCAAGAGAACGUGGACACAGAACUCCCAGCGACAGUUCUGAACUUAGCUCUGCUGGGGGAUGCCAAGCACUGAUUGCUGAUGACCUGAAACUAUCUCCGUGGCUGAGGGGGGUGGUGUGAGUCCUAACUAAUCUAAACACUAGGCUUGGGCUGACUUGCUCUUGAGUGGCAUGCAUACCUUCUGUCCAGAGAUGGUUUCUCCCUUGCCUACUACUCAAGGGUUGGAUGUGGCCCAACCUAGGGGUGCCUUCAGCAGUGAAAUCCUUUCUCAGGCUGCUCUGUCUGGCUUUUUUCCCCCCCUCUGAAUUCAUCCAUGGCACAACCAGGCGUAGGGGCAGACCACUGUCUACAAGAACGGUCUUCCCAUGGUGUCUGGUUAUUCAGGCUUGUCCAACUUGAGGCUGCAGUGCACACAGCCAUCUUUGUGGGAGGGGGCUAUCGUGUACCCCAUACUGUGAAACCAGAGGCUCCAUGGGUCACAAAGCCAGUGGGAGCAGAAACCAACCUCCUUGAUGCUAUAGAGCAUUCCUCUUGAGGCUUUCCUGACCUGGCUCUGGGCUGGAAAAAUCAUGCCAGCAGUCCUAGCUUCCUGGAAUACAUGAUCCCCUUCUCCAGGAACCAAAAGGAGGCAAGUUGAAAGCUCUGACCUCUUAGCCAGUAUUCUUUCUCUGUACCUCAUUUUCCUAGGUUCUUCUGUGCCUUAACUUCCUUAGGUGGGAAAUCCCCUUUCAUGGAGACUCCCGUAGCCUUUGCUUCGGAGGCCAUAUGUAAUCCUGAAAUCUGAGCUACGCUGCCACCCUCCCUCUCCAGCCCCAGAUUGGUAUCUGGCACAAUCUGGAGACAGGAUGGGAUUAGAGGCACUGGUGCUUUCUUGGAUGCUAGAAAAAUCCAGGCCUAUGAACAUGUUUUCACUUGACAAUAGCUGCCCAGCUGGUAGGGCAGGCUCACUUGGUUCAUGGUGAAACUCCUCUCUAGAAUCUUCUGGAAAACGAGUUCACUGUGUGGGUUUUUUUUUCUCCCCCCCCCCCCCCCCCUUUCCUGGCCACUUCCUGGCCACUGUCCCACUGGGACCAUGUCCUUGAAAUUCCAGCUUAUUCUCUAACUUUAUUCAACAUUUUAC